Long non-coding RNA from Pezoporus occidentalis (night parrot), 1026 nucleotides. RefSeq lists it as uncharacterized. Lineage: Eukaryota; Metazoa; Chordata; Aves; Psittaciformes; Psittacidae. The transcript has 2 exons. The record is from RefSeq and is a predicted model, not a curated record.
GGUGAAUACAAAACGUAUCUGGAGUCAGCCUCCUGCAAGUGGGGAUUGACUGGAGGAGGCCAGAAAUGUAAAUUACAAUUUGGGGGCUGGAAUCAGAGCCGUAUUUUCCAUUGACCUGAGAAGCCAAUGUGUUAUCAAGUGUCCUGCAGUUGCCAAGUGGAAGCAAAUGCUCUCUUAAUGAGGCAUUGCUCCUGGUAGUGUAAGUGCUGGAAGCAUUUGUUCAGUUGCCAUACCUCACUGUUUGCUUCUGUGUGACAAUAUUUCUUAACUAUUGAGGCUGUUGUACCAGCUUCCCCUUCAGAGUGAUGCUUCUCUUAUCUCUAGAGCCCACAUUGCUUGAGGGGUUGUUAUGUUGUUGCUGGAAUGAUGCCUGGGACAUUGCCCUUCCUCCUUGGAGGUGACUGGAUCUGUGGAAACCCUGUUUCUGAUAAAGCAGCUAUCUCAGGGUCAGCUUCCGAGGAACCUGAGCUCUGUUGCUGCUCAGUGUGCAUACCCCUCUGCUGCUGGAGGCAUCCCAGCCCUAGCAGUGUCUGUUUGCCAGACCAACUGCUGCUGCCCUGCAAAAGGAGACUGGCAAGAGCUUGCCUGUGGCUUGGGAUGGUAGGGAUUUGCUCAGCAAGGGUAUCUUGCAACAACUUCAUUCUGUGGCUUCUCUGUGGGUGCCUUAACAUUGAAAUAGUGCUCCUUUGAAUUCUGUAAGGUUGGGCAUGUUUUGGUACCUGGCCUACCACUGGUGAGUGACUACUGCAUAGCUUUUUGCUGAAGUAGUUUACUCUUUAAAAUCCUCCCUCUACAUUUGGAUCCAUACACAGAGAGUUAUUUCCUUGCAGAUCUGAAGCCAUUUAUAAGGAAGCAGCUUAUUCAGGGAUGCAAUUAGAGCACUUGUCUGACUCAUUACUAGAGCUAAUGGUAAAUCAAAGAAAUAUUCAGUCUGUACCUAUAAUUAUUCUGGGGGAUCUGCUGGAAUGUCUCAUCUUGGGUCCGGUUUUAUGUUGCUGAUAUUGUGAAUAAAAACCUUGUGCACAA